AGCCUCCCAAAGUGCUGGGAUUAUAGGCGUGAGCCACUGUGCCCGGCCAAGAGCAACUUUUUUAAACCUACAGUCCAAUUCUUUUCCCUUAUCUCUCAGGAGACUUUGGGCUCACCUAGGAGCCCACUUUUACCUCCUUCCUCAGUUGUGCAUAUAACAGAGGAAGGGGCAGAAUCGGCCUUCAGGGUUUAAAGGGGCCAUGAGUCGGGGUCAGCCCUGAGGAGGAGUGGGGUGAAUGCUAUCCCAGGAUAGAGAUGGAGCCCUGGUGGCCUGAUUCCUCCUGGCCUGGCCAGUACCACUGAAGCUUCCCAACACCUCCAAGCUUAUUAAAGAACCAGAGUGACUUGCCUGUCCCAGAGAGACUUGGGAUGGUCAGAAACGGGGGUGAGGGGCCCGGGGCAAGCCAAGCCUGUAAAUGAUGGCAGCCUGGGGCUUUAGUUUGGGAACACACUCACACCUCCUACAGGUCAGGCUGCACACUCGUGUUAUUUGAUAACCCCAUCUGCAGGUGAGGAAACUGAGGCGCAGUUAUUUGUCCUCAGGCAUGCUCCUUAGAGGCCACUUGAUUGCAGAGAAGGUCUACAGAGCAGUGGUUAGAACUUGGCCCUGAGGACAGAGCUUUUGCUCCGUAUGAGGCUGGCAGGUAACGAUCUUCUCAGUUUUCUCCCCAGGAAUCUGGAACGAUGAAGGUGAUGAUUGUGCCUGUGGCCAAGACCGGGAGAACCCUGGAUCCCUACACCUUCCCCACCCCUGGAAUGUCACUAUACAUAUCUGACUUCUUCUGAUGUUGCCUUUGACCCUAAAGUCAAUAUGAUAAAGUAACAAGAAGCUGGGACAGAGGAACAAACACAGCCCACUCAAGCAGUGGUGGCAACAUUCUGUUAGAAAGGAGGGGAGUCAAAGAAAAAAACACCCCUCCGCCCAUCUCCUUAUCACCUCCCUAAAGACAGAGGAGAACAUGGACACCCUCCAUCCUGAUAGACAUGCCAUGUGGUCAGUUUGUGCGGUAAACAGGAAAAAAAAAAAACCUAAAGAUAUUGUAGACCUUUAUUUUCUUUAAAUCUCCUAAUAAAAACAUUAAACUUUCAAGAAGAUUCCAAACUGA
Homo sapiens (human) is the source of this 1105-nucleotide long non-coding RNA. The record is from Ensembl. Lineage: Eukaryota; Metazoa; Chordata; Mammalia; Primates; Hominidae.